This 882-nucleotide ribosomal RNA is filed under the name Colletotrichum gloeosporioides. RNAcentral describes it as "eukaryotic LSU rRNA". The stretch from base 183 to 882 matches the Rfam family "Eukaryotic large subunit ribosomal RNA", at positions 1 to 726 of the family's 3401-position model. Lineage: Eukaryota; Fungi; Ascomycota; Sordariomycetes; Glomerellales; Glomerellaceae. The record is from RNAcentral.
GCAUGCCUGUUCGAGCGUCAUUUCAACCCUCAAGCUCUGCUUGGUGUUGGGGCCCUACAGCUGAUGUAGGCCCUCAAAGGUAGUGGCGGACCCUCCCGGAGCCUCCUUUGCGUAGUAACUUUACGUCUCGCACUGGGAUCCGGAGGGACUCUUGCCGUAAAACCCCCCAAUUUUCCAAAGGUUGACCUCGGAUCAGGUAGGAAUACCCGCUGAACUUAAGCAUAUCAAUAAGCGGAGGAAAAGAAACCAACAGGGAUUGCCUCAGUAACGGCGAGUGAAGCGGCAACAGCUCAAAUUUGAAAUCUNGNCCCUAGGCCCGAGUUGUAAUUUGCAGAGGAUGCUUUUGGUGCGGUGCCUUCCAAGUUCCCUAGAACGGGACGCCAGAGAGGGUGAGAGCCCCGUACAGUUGGACACCAAGCCUUUGUAAAGCUCCUUCGACGAGUCGAGUAGUUUGGGAAUGCUGCUCAAAAUGGGAGGUAUAUUUCUUCUAAAGCUAAAUACCGGCCAGAGACCGAUAGCGCACAAGUAGAGUGAUCGAAAGAUGAAAAGCACUUUGAAAAGAGGGUUAAACAGCACGUGAAAUUGUUAAAAGGGAAGCGCUUGUGACCAGACUUGCGUCCGGUGAAUCACCCAGCUCUCGCGGCUGGGGCACUUCGCCGGCUCAGGCCAGCAUCAGCUCGCUGUCGGGGACAAAAGCUUCAGGAACGUAGCUCUCUUCGGGGAGUGUUAUAGCCUGUUGCAUAAUACCUUCGGCGGGCUGAGGUACGCCGUCCGCAAGGAUGCUGGCAUAAUGGUCAUCAGCGACCCGUCUUGAAACACGGACCAAGGAGUCAACCUUAUGUGCGAGUGUUCGGGUGUUAAACCCCUACGCGUAAUGAAAGU